RNAcentral lists this ribosomal RNA (253 nucleotides) under uncultured bacterium. Its description in RNAcentral is "partial 16S ribosomal RNA". It matches the Rfam family "Bacterial small subunit ribosomal RNA", at positions 524 to 776 of the family's 1533-position model. The record is from RNAcentral.
UACAGAGGUGGCAAGCGUUGUUCGGAAUUACUGGGCGUAAAGGGCGCGUAGGCGGCCUGGUCAGUCGGAUGUGAAAGCCCGGGGCUCAACUUGGGAAUUGCGCUCGAAACUAUGGUGCUGGAGUGUGGCAGAGGAAGGUGGAAUUCCACGUGUAGCGGUGAAAUGCGUAGAGAUGUGGAGGAACACCGAUGGCGAAGGCAGCCUUCUGGGCCAACACUGACGCUCAUGCACGAAAGCGUGGGGAGCAAACAGG